UCUUAUAGAUCUUGUAUUCAUAAAAAAAUGUUCAAUUUGUAAAUUCUUCACCCGCAUAGAGUCCACCGCAUCAGUUUGUAUAAAAAGUAUUUCAAUCUAUCCCGCACCGCAUAAAUUUAAACCUGUACCGCGCUCUUGCCAUCCCUCAAACAGAUCAAAUUCAACCAGAUAUUCAUCUAAUGUUUCAAAGUUAAAUCUUUUUUUGUUCUUUCAAUUGAAUAAAGGAAAUAACAGACGAAUUUAGUAGGAUAAAGGGUGAGUCAGAAAUCUCGUGUGGAAAGUGCCGCUCACUGCACCCACCCAAACCAGGCGAUGCUGCGUUUGCACAUAUGCUAAAGAUCUCAUCAUUCUUUCCCUUUCUAAAUUCACUACAAAAAGAUAACCACCCAAUUUCUACUAAAAAAAAGACAUAAAAAUAAUACUCGCUGAUAAUCAAAGACAAAAAGAGAUAACCAAAGCUAAAAAGAUAAAACAAAGUAGUGUUUGUGAUGGUAGAGAGGGAAGUUAUAGAAGGAGGCUGACGGCUAUGC
RNAcentral lists this long non-coding RNA (530 nucleotides) under Nicotiana benthamiana. RNAcentral's name for it is "long non-coding RNA (NBEN_LNC011114)". Lineage: Eukaryota; Viridiplantae; Streptophyta; Magnoliopsida; Solanales; Solanaceae. The record is from RNAcentral.